Molecule: ribosomal RNA, 255 nt
Filed under: Bacillus amyloliquefaciens
Lineage: Bacteria; Bacillati; Bacillota; Bacilli; Caryophanales; Bacillaceae
Also listed under: 4 other names
Description: partial 16S ribosomal RNA
Rfam family: Bacterial small subunit ribosomal RNA
Source: RNAcentral
GCAAGUCGAGCGGACAGAUGGGAGCUUGCUCCCUGAUGUUAGCGGCGGACGGGUGAGUAACACGUGGGUAACCUGCCUGUAAGACUGGGAUAACUCCGGGAAACCGGGGCUAAUACCGGAUGGUUGUCUGAACCGCAUGGUUCAGACAUAAAAGGUGGCUUCGGCUACCACUUACAGAUGGACCCGCGGCGCAUUAGCUAGUUGGUGAGGUAACGGCUCACCAAGGCGACGAUGCGUAGCCGACCUGAGAGGGUG